Molecule: unclassified non-coding RNA, 211 nt
Filed under: Hevea brasiliensis (rubber tree)
Lineage: Eukaryota; Viridiplantae; Streptophyta; Magnoliopsida; Malpighiales; Euphorbiaceae
Source: RNAcentral
GAAUUCGCAGCGGAGAAGUCGAAGUCUCGGGCAUCGUCAGAACCAGCGUUCGGCGACUACGACGGUGUCCCCGGGUUUCAGAAGCGUACCAGGCGGCACGACAGCCUGAACGGCGCCAGCUUCGCCCAUUCGGGUUAAUUUGAUGCUNNNNUUCGCUGCGCGCGAGGGGUGAAGCCGCCGGCAAUGGCAACGGCGCUCUCCGCCGUCAUGU